Long non-coding RNA from Bombus terrestris (buff-tailed bumblebee), 1342 nucleotides. RefSeq lists it as uncharacterized. NCBI's taxonomy places the organism in Eukaryota, Metazoa, Arthropoda, Insecta, Hymenoptera, Apidae. The transcript is spliced from 3 exons. The record is from RefSeq and is a predicted model, not a curated record.
AGGGCGGGUACUUCCUGUUUUAAUACUUUUUUAAGGUUAACUUUUCCUUCCAUAGGUUCCUGUGUUAUUUCUCGUCGAAAAGGAAUAGUUUAUCUAUAUUAUCAUUUUAUGAGAUCUUUCGAUUUAGCUAAUAUGUAUUGCGUUCCAAACUUCUGUUAGAGCUUCUAAUGAUACUACUCUAACAUCGUCACAUCCAUCAUCAAGUCUUUUCAAAAGUAUUGGAUAUAUUUUAUGUAUGUAUUCUUCCGUGAGGUGAUCAAACUGCUUCCGGAUACACAUUAUUAAAUACAUAGCUUGCAAAGAAUAAAAUCUACUUGUUUUAGAAUUAUCAUCUGCAAGACUAAUUAAGACAGGAAUUAUUUGAUCAAAUAUUAAACAAAUAUUUUCUUCAUCAUGAUUUGUAAUUCUCUCCAUAGCAGAGUCUUUUUCAUAUUUAUUUAAAAACGAACAUAAACAAGUUACUGCAGCGUCUCAAUUCAGGAUCUGCAUCAUCCGUCAGAGUUUGUUUUAGAACUGGUAAAAUAAUGUCCAUAUUAUAAGCAAAAGUUUGCCUAGCAUAAGUUAAACAUGCACAAAAAAUUUGAGAUUCUGGAUCAUGAAUUGACCAUGAUUUAUAGUCAGAAAAUGUUGAAAAUAAUUGGCCAAUGUAUUUAUGAUAUAACUCUCCGACAUUAUCAAGUGAAUUAAUGCUAGCAAGUAUACUUAGUAAUUCUUGUGCUUUUAAAUUUAUCAGAUUUUCUUGUGUCAUAGAUAAAACGGUGAAUAUUAUUAUAAAUAAUUCCUUUGAUAUAAGUUUGCAAUCCUAAAAUUUGUUUAAUAUAUUAGCGCAAGAAAUAACAAAAUUAAUGAUGUAGAUAUAUAUAAAACAAACCAUUUUGCAUACUAAAAGUAAAGAAGAACAACAAGAAAGUAUUUCUUUUUGAUAUGCUCCUUUUUUACUUUGACAGAUAUGCGAUUGUUGUAAGAAUUUUCCAAUAUCUUCUAAUAAUGGAAGAAGUGUACACUGUUCACUACCUUUUAAAACUGCAGAAAAUACUUUUAAAUGACCUACGGAUGGAGCGUCUUCAAUAGUAGGGAUUAUCAAAUGACAAUAGAUUUUUGGAGGUACAAAAUAUCCUAAAUAUUCUGCAGCUCUUUCUACAUUUUCUACAACCCUGUUAUCUUCAUCAUUACAAGCACUAAUAAAUAAUUAUUAGUCAACAGUAUGAUUAGUUAAAUAUUAAUUUGACAAUGUAUAUCUUAAUACUAAUACAUUUACCGAUACAUAGGAGGUAAGAGUUUUCCAAUAUGCUGUAUUAUAUCUUCUUCUAUGUUUAAAAUAAACACACAAAGUAAUUGUGCA